RNAcentral lists this ribosomal RNA (301 nucleotides) under uncultured bacterium. RNAcentral's name for it is "partial 16S ribosomal RNA". It matches the Rfam family "Bacterial small subunit ribosomal RNA", at positions 509 to 809 of the family's 1533-position model. The record is from RNAcentral.
CAGUAGCCGCGGGAAUACAGAGGGCGCGAGCGUUACCCGGAUUUACUGGGCGUAAAGGGCGUGUAGGAGGCCUGGGGCGUCCCACGUGAGAGGCCACGGCUCAACCGUGGAGGAGCGUGGGAUACGCUCAGGCUAGAGGGUGGGAGAGGGUGGUGGAAUUCCCGGAGUAGCGGUGAGAUGCGCAGAUACCGGGAGGAACGCCGAUGGCGAAGGCAGCCACCUGGUCCACUUCUGACGCUGAGGCGCGAAAGCGUGGGGAGCAAAUCGGAUUAGAUACCCCAGUAGUCCCUGUCCUCUUAUA